RNAcentral lists this ribosomal RNA (209 nucleotides) under uncultured Wolinella sp. RNAcentral's name for it is "partial 16S ribosomal RNA". It matches the Rfam family "Bacterial small subunit ribosomal RNA", at positions 283 to 524 of the family's 1533-position model. Lineage: Bacteria; Pseudomonadati; Campylobacterota; Epsilonproteobacteria; Campylobacterales; Helicobacteraceae. The record is from RNAcentral.
CGCCGCGCGCCGGCGGGCGGGGCGGGGGCACGGGGGGACUCCUACGGGAGGCAGCAGUAGGGAAUAUUGCUCAAUGGGCGAAAGCCUGAAGCAGCAACGCCGCGUGGAGGAUGAAGGUCUUCGGAUUGUAAACUCCUUUUCUAAGAGAAGAUUAUGACGGUAUCUUAGGAAUAAGCACCGGCUAACUCCGUGCCAGCAGCCGCGGUAAU